AUUGAACGCUGGCGGCAUGCCUUACACAUGCAAGUCGAACGGUAGCACGGGUGCUUGCACCUGGUGGCGAGUGGCGAACGGGUGAGUAAUACAUCGGGACGUACCUUAUCGUGGGGGAUAACGCAGCGAAAGUUGCGCUAAUACCGCAUACGCCCUGAGGGGGAAAGCGGGGGACCGUAAGGCCUCGCGCGAUUGGAGCGGCCGAUGGCAGAUUAGGUAGUUGGUGGGGUAAAGGCCUACCAAGCCGACGAUCUGUAGCUGGUCUGAGAGGACGACCAGCCACGCUGGGACUGAGACACGGCCCAGACUCCUACGGGAGGCAGCAGUGGGGAAUUUUGGACAAUGGGCGCAAGCCUGAUCCAGCCAUUCCGCGUGCAGGAUGAAGGCCCUCGGGUUGUAAACUGCUUUUGUACGGAACGAAAAGGCUCUGGUUAAUACCUGGGGCUCAUGACGGUACCGUAAGAAUAAGCACCGGCUAACUACGUGCCAGCCGCCGCCGUAA
Molecule: ribosomal RNA, 502 nt
Filed under: uncultured bacterium
Lineage: Bacteria
Description: partial 16S ribosomal RNA
Rfam family: Bacterial small subunit ribosomal RNA
Source: RNAcentral